UAAAAAGUGGCAGAAAAAUGCAUUGGUUUUAAACACCUUUAAUAAGGAAUUAUUUAUUUCCUUCUUUUUUA
RNAcentral lists this transfer RNA (71 nucleotides) under Achatinella fulgens. RNAcentral describes it as "tRNA-Leu". Lineage: Eukaryota; Metazoa; Mollusca; Gastropoda; Stylommatophora; Achatinellidae. The record is from RNAcentral.